GACGAACCGUGCAAACGUUGUUCGGAAUCACUGGGCUUAAAGGGCGCGUAGGCGGGUUGGACAGUCUAUGGUGAAAUCCCCCGGCUUAACCUGGGAACUGCGUCUGAUACUGGACGGCUUGAGUAUGGGAGAGGAACGUAGAAUUCCAGGUGUAGCGGUGAAAUGCGUAGAUAUCUGGAGGAAUACCGGUGGCGAAGGCGGCGUUCUGGACCAUUACUGACACUGAAUCGCGAAAGCUAGGGGAGCAAACGGG
RNAcentral lists this ribosomal RNA (253 nucleotides) under uncultured bacterium. Its description in RNAcentral is "partial 16S ribosomal RNA". It matches the Rfam family "Bacterial small subunit ribosomal RNA", at positions 524 to 776 of the family's 1533-position model. The record is from RNAcentral.